GAUGGGAGCUUGCUCCCUGAUGUUAGCGGCGGACGGGUGAGUAACACGUGGGUAACCUGCCUGUAAGACUGGGAUAACUCCGGGAAACCGGGGCUAAUACCGGAUGGUUGUUUGAACCGCAUGGUUCAAACAUAAAAGGUGGCUUCGGCUACCACUUACAGAUGGACCCGCGGCGCAUUAGCUAGUUGGUGAGGUAACGGCUCACCAAGGCAACGAUGCGUAGCCGACCUGAGAGGGUGAUCGGCCACACUGGGACUGAGACACGGCCCAGACUCCUACGGGAGGCAGCAGUAGGGAAUCUUCCGCAAUGGACGAAAGUCUGACGGAGCAACGCCGCGUGAGUGAUGAAGGUUUUCGGAUCGUAAAGCUCUGUUGUUAGGGAAGAACAAGUACCGUUCGAAUAGGGCGGUACCUUGACGGUACCUAACCAGAAAGCCACGGCUAACUACGUGCCAGCAGCCGCGGUAAUACGUAGGUGGCAAGCGUUGUCCGGAAUUAUUGGGCGUAAAGGGCUCGCAGGCGGUUUCUUAAGUCUGAUGUGAAAGCCCCCGGCUCAACCGGGGAGGGUCAUUGGAAACUGGGGAACUUGAGUGCAGAAGAGGAGAGUGGAAUUCCACGUGUAGCGGUGAAAUGCGUAGAGAUGUGGAGGAACACCAGUGGCGAAGGCGACUCUCUGGUCUGUAACUGACGCUGAGGAGCGAAAGCGUGGGGAGCGAACAGGAUUAGAUACCCUGGUAGUCCACGCCGUAAACGAUGAGUGCUAAGUGUUAGGGGGUUUCCGCCCCUUAGUGCUGCAGCUAACGCAU
Molecule: ribosomal RNA, 806 nt
Filed under: Bacillus subtilis
Lineage: Bacteria; Bacillati; Bacillota; Bacilli; Caryophanales; Bacillaceae
Description: bacterial SSU rRNA
Rfam family: Bacterial small subunit ribosomal RNA
Source: RNAcentral